UACGGAGGGUGCUAGCGUUGUUCGGAAUUACUGGGCGUAAAGAGCGCGUAGGCGGUUUGUUAAGUUGGAAGUGAAAUCCCAGAGCUCAACUCUGGAACUGCUUUCAAAACUAACUUACUAGAGUUAGGUAGGGGAUAGUGGAAUUCCCAAUGUAGAGGUGAAAUUCGUAGAUAUUGGGAGGAACACCAGAAGCGAAGGCGACUAUCUAGGCCUUAACUGACGCUGAGGCGCGAAAGUGUGGGGAGCAAACAGG
This 253-nucleotide ribosomal RNA is filed under the name uncultured bacterium. RNAcentral's name for it is "partial 16S ribosomal RNA". It matches the Rfam family "Bacterial small subunit ribosomal RNA", at positions 524 to 776 of the family's 1533-position model. The record is from RNAcentral.